This 769-nucleotide long non-coding RNA is filed under the name Penaeus monodon (black tiger shrimp). Its description in RNAcentral is "uncharacterized LOC119595038, transcript variant X1". Lineage: Eukaryota; Metazoa; Arthropoda; Malacostraca; Decapoda; Penaeidae. The record is from RNAcentral.
AGGAUGGCGGGGGCGGUCGCGCGGCCACAUAGUCUCCAACCUCUGCCAGUCGUAGUGUUAAGUCCGAGUUGGGACAGACAGCACGCGCGCACCCACACACGCGCGCCGACCGGGGCAGGCAGCACCUCGCUCUCCCGUCUCCUCGCCGGCCGGGCCUCGUCUCUCGCGCUCUCGGCUCCGCAUUAAAAAAAAAUACAGUAGAGAAAAAGGGAAAAUAAUAGUGAAGGAAAAGAUGUAGGAGAGAACAGUUCUAAUAAAAGAAAAAAUGCAUGUCAAUUAAGAACUGGAUAUAUUGCAAAAUUGCAAUAACCAACUUGGACCAAUUUCCAGAUGAUGACAGGUGUGUGACUAAAAAAGAAAGAAAAUAAAUAUAGAACCAAUGAGUAUAUAUUAAAAAUAAGCUAUUGAUAAUACUAUUAAAAAUAAGUUAUUGAAAAUACUGUUAAAAAUAAGCUAUUGGAAGGCUAAGUAAUGGAAGGAUAAUAGUGAUAAAAAAUAACGCAAAGAAAGUAGAGAGUGGAAAGAAGGAAAAAAAGAAAAAAAAACAGAAAAGAAAAUAGGGUUAAGGAGAUAAAAGAAUAGAAAAGAAAGGAAGGAGACGAAAAAGAGAUAAAGAAGAAAAGUAAAGAAAAAAUAAAAUAAAGAAGAGAGGGAGAAGGAGAGACAAGGAUAUAAGAGGGGAACAGAGAAACACACAAGAAAACCAUCAUGACACCUAACAUGUGUUUUCUGAUCAUAACUACAACUUUGAUCAUCUUCUCGCCGCUUG